RNAcentral lists this ribosomal RNA (253 nucleotides) under uncultured bacterium. RNAcentral describes it as "partial 16S ribosomal RNA". It matches the Rfam family "Bacterial small subunit ribosomal RNA", at positions 524 to 776 of the family's 1533-position model. The record is from RNAcentral.
UACGUAGGUGACAAGCGUUGCUCGGAAUCACUGGGCGUAAAGGGUGCGUAGGCGGGUUUUUAAGUCAGAGGUGAAAUCCUGGAGCUCAACUCCAGAACUGCCUUUGAUACUGGAAGUCUCGAGUAUGGGAGAGGUAAGCGGAAUUCCUGGUGUAGCGGUGAAAUGCGUAGAUAUCAGGAGGAACACCUGUGGUGUAGACAGCUUACUGGACCAUAACUGACGCUGAGGCACGAAAGCGUGGGUAGCAAACAGG